AUUGAACGCUGGCGGCAUGCUUUACACAUGCAAGUCGAACGGCAGCGCGGGCUUCGGCCUGGCGGCGAGUGGCGAACGGGUGAGUAAUACAUCGGAACGUGCCCAGUAGUGGGGGAUAGCUCGGCGAAAGCCGGAUUAAUACCGCAUACGACCUGAGGGUGAAAGCGGGGGAUCUUCGGACCUCGCGCUAUUGGAGCGGCCGAUGGCAGAUUAGCUAGUUGGUGGGGUAAAGGCCUACCAAGGCGACGAUCUGUAGCUGGUCUGAGAGGACGACCAGCCAACGUGGGAUGGAGAACCGGCCCAGACCCCUACGGGAGGCAGAAGUGGGAAAUUUUGGAAAAGGGGGGAAAGCCUGACCAGCAAAGGCCGGGGUGGGAAGGAAGGCCUGCGGGUUGUAAAGCACUUUUGGCGGGAACGAAAAGGACUGGCCAAAAACCCCGGUUCAAGAACGGAACCGGAAAAAAAAGACCGGGCAAAUUCGGG
RNAcentral lists this ribosomal RNA (483 nucleotides) under uncultured bacterium. Its description in RNAcentral is "partial 16S ribosomal RNA". It matches the Rfam family "Bacterial small subunit ribosomal RNA", at positions 29 to 506 of the family's 1533-position model. The record is from RNAcentral.